GUCUAUGGCCGUACCACCCUGAACGCGCCCGAUCUCGUCUGAUCUUGGAAGCUAAGCAGGGUCGGGCCUGGUUAGUACUUGGAUGGGAGAAAACCUUUUCUGAGAAGGACCCAGUAGUAAAUACUGAGGCCAUAUGGU
Molecule: ribosomal RNA, 138 nt
Filed under: Octodon degus (degu)
Lineage: Eukaryota; Metazoa; Chordata; Mammalia; Rodentia; Octodontidae
Source: RNAcentral